GUACCCCACUCGUCGUGAAAGACGAGCGAAAACCAUGGCGGCGAUCGCGCACUCCAUCGGUGGCCCCGAGAGCGCACAAGCGCGAUCAGCGCUGACAGAGGACGGUGGCGCCGGUCGGGAGCCACGUCUUCCGUGGUGGUCAGGAUCUUAAGCAAGCCGUCACCGCCGCCGCUGCCGAGGACCUCAACAGAAGUUUGUCGACGCCGCAGACUCUUCUUUCCAGACCAUGGUUGAUUGAAGGUGUGAUUUCUGCCUCGACAAUCGUUUGACAUCUCUAAUUUAAUCUCUGCAAAACAAGGAUUCAAAUGGGUUAUAAGAAUUGGGGUACCACUGUGUUGAAUUUGAAUUUUAGGUUUAUCGAGUUGAUUGUCCCGAGGAUGGGACGUCAGGAUUCUUAGCUAUCUUAGAUGAUAAGCGCAUUUGAUUGCUAGAGACUGAUAGGUAUACUAUUAAUUUAGGCCUAACUCUUUUGUCGUCGCAUGGAAUGAAUGUGUCGUGAAGUUUUUCUGGUUCAAAAGCAAGUGUUUUUUGUCUCAUUCUAUUUGUAUUUCGUGUUCCUCAUCAUGAUAUUGCUGUUGAGAACAUAGAGUUGCAUGUCUGUAUGUUGAUGGAAUGGAGAACAAUCUGUAUGAAGUUUUUCUGGUUCAAAAGUAAGUUUUUUUAUCUCAUUCUAUUUGUAUUUGGUGUUCCUCAUUAUGAUAUUACUGUUGAGAACAUAGAGUUGCAUGUCUGUAUGCUGAUGGAAUGGAGAACAAUCUGUAUGAAGCUUUUUCUGGUUCAAAAGUAAGCUUUUUUAUCUCAUUCUAUUUGUAUUUGGCGUUCCUCAUUAUGAUAUUACUGUUGAGAACAUAAGAGUUGCAUGUCUGUAUGUUGAUGGAAUGGAGAACAAUCUGUAUGAAGCUUUUCUGGUUCAAAAGUAAGCUUUUUUUCCUCAUUCUAUUUGUAUUUGGUGUUCCUCAUUAUGAUAUUACUGUUGAGAACAUAGAGUUGCAUGUCUGUUUGUUGAUUGAAUGGAGAACAAUCUGUACCUAUCUCUCUUUCUACUUCCAUUUGUCUUUACAUUUACAGAGAAUAUCAAUCCGAUCUUACUUUGACUAGUUUGACUUAGAGUUGAAUGCUUAAAAGAAAAUAUAAUUCUUCCAAUAGAUGCCUCUUAAAAGUAGCUUGCAUUGGUUUGGUAUUGUUUGUAUUUCAGCAAGAGCCAAUUUGUAGCUCCUCAUGAAAUCUGAGAUAAGUGCCACUGAUAUAUAAAGUGGAUGAUUGUUUACAUCAAACUUAAUGGCACAAGAAAUGUUCUACAACUAUCGAAUAAAACUUUGUGAUGUGAAAGCUGUACAAAAUUUCUUUUUGAAUUUGAAGUCUCCCUCCACCAUCUUUUUCAUGCUUUAGGUUAUAGCUGAGCAUUAUUCUUGUAGUGAUGACACCAUUUUGUCAUGCUCAUGAUAAUAUUCAUCUUAUUAAGUUGAGGUUUGGCUGCAUGCACUAUCUACUCUGUUUGCUUGUUCUGUAUUGAUAAUUUGUGUUUCCUGUUUACAUGUAUUAAACUCUAUUAUCAUCUUUCACAAUUGUCACUGGAGAUAACUUUCAUAAUUGAAGUAAUAUAUGACCCAAAACUGUUGGUGCUGAGAUGAGUAGAUAAACAUGGCAAGUUUAUGGUGGCAACCAUGAGGACCAUUACCUUACCUAGCAGAAGUUAGAAGAAUCUACUGGAUCCUUCAACUUUGCACAAUGAUUAAAUAUGAUUACCUCACUCCUACCUGAAUGUGCCCACAUUUGUGUCUGCAG
Molecule: long non-coding RNA, 1785 nt
Filed under: Musa acuminata (dwarf banana)
Lineage: Eukaryota; Viridiplantae; Streptophyta; Magnoliopsida; Zingiberales; Musaceae
Description: long non-coding RNA (MACU_LNC003752)
Source: RNAcentral